GGUUAUGAAAUAGCGUCAACUUAGGUUAAAACAAGGAUUUCAACAACACUGGACGCUCAGCUGGUCUUGAGUUGCAGGAAAUUUUGAAGUAUAAAAUGAAUUACAAAAUAAAAAAAAAGAAAGCAAUAAGUCCCAAAAAAUCGAGUGCAAUAACUGAUGGCAAGAAGAAACCUGAAAAGAUCAAAUCCCAACAAAAGUUGAUAAACAAUGUUAUUAUGAAAAAAUUUCUGAAAGUAUAUACCAAAUAUUGUGCAGAUACUAAGUCUGCAGUAUGCCCAUGGAUAAAAAUGGCAACACACAGUUGCAUCAAAGAAAACUCUCUCCUGAAAAAGAUAAUCAUCGAGCAAUCCCUGACCCAACCUCGUGUACUCUUUGAACCCCUCAUUGCUGCAUUAAGAAGUGUCCACUACCAUUAUUUAAACCAUCUCUAUAUUUGGAACUAUCCUAUGUCAUAUGAAAAUACAUGUACCUUGACAUUUUUUAUGAACAAAUAUUAUGAAGGAUUAAAAACUAUAUAUUUAAUUGACAACAUCUUAACUUCUGAAUCUUUACAGAGAUUUAUCAAAUAUCUCCCUGUAUGCACAUCUCUAACUGAAAUUUGCUUAGAUUAUAAUGAUAUGAGUUAUACAGAUUGCAAAUACCUAUCUAGUUGCCUCAGCGACAAUAUUACACUGACAUCAUUGAGUCUAAGUUACUGUAAUUUACCAAAAGAGACUGGUAUUUACCUGGGUAAGAUCCUUGCCAGCACAGCAGUCAGUAGCCUGUAUGUCAAUGGUAAUAACCUCCAGGGAGAUGGUAUAAUGGAGUUGGUUAGAACAUGUGCUAAACAAGCUGAAUAUGACUUUGCUGAGAAAAUGUCGCUCUCUAAAGAGGUGACUGUGAAGCCAACAACUCCAAAAGCUUCACCUGCUAAAAAAGACAAACAGAAGAAAAAAAAAGCUAAAAAGAAAAAACCAACCCCUCUUCCGAAGGCUGGUCCUUGGGUUGUAAAACUUCAUGCAGCAGACAAUGGUUUUCAAUUACAGAAUCCUGGUGGUGGAGCUAAUGUAAUUGACUGUAUGCAGCAUAUCAGAAAGUUGAUAGUCUUUUCGGAAUACUUACGAGAACUAAAUCUCUAUGGUAAUCACAUUGGGAAUCUUGGAAGUCAGAUGUUGUUGGAAUCCCUUCAAGCAAGACAAAAGGCAAAACUGCCUCCCCUAAAGAUGCGCUCUUCAUAUAGAAUACGCCUGCCAAAUAUAUACAUGCCUUUACUGAAACUGAGCACAGGAAAUCCAAACUUAAGGAAAAGGAAAAAAUUAAAAUCCAAAAAGAAAUAGAAAAAUCUGGAUGACCACAGAGGAGCAAACUUCCAUAAUAUAAUGUGCACAGACAUACAAACACACACACACACACACUUACACACACACACACAC
Molecule: unclassified non-coding RNA, 1412 nt
Filed under: Octopus sinensis (East Asian common octopus)
Lineage: Eukaryota; Metazoa; Mollusca; Cephalopoda; Octopoda; Octopodidae
Description: uncharacterized LOC115209065, transcript variant X3
Source: RNAcentral